RNAcentral lists this ribosomal RNA (2164 nucleotides) under Escherichia coli. RNAcentral describes it as "partial 23S ribosomal RNA". It matches the Rfam family "Bacterial large subunit ribosomal RNA", at positions 717 to 2857 of the family's 2925-position model. The record is from RNAcentral. Lineage: Bacteria; Pseudomonadati; Pseudomonadota; Gammaproteobacteria; Enterobacterales; Enterobacteriaceae.
GAAACCCGGUGAUCUAGCCAUGGGCAGGUUGAAGGUUGGGUAACACUAACUGGAGGACCGAACCGACUAAUGUUGAAAAAUUAGCGGAUGACUUGUGGCUGGGGGUGAAAGGCCAAUCAAACCGGGAGAUAGCUGGUUCUCCCCGAAAGCUAUUUAGGUAGCGCCUCGUGAAUUCAUCUCCGGGGGUAGAGCACUGUUUCGGCAAGGGGGUCAUCCCGACUUACCAACCCGAUGCAAACUGCGAAUACCGGAGAAUGUUAUCACGGGAGACACACGGCGGGUGCUAACGUCCGUCGUGAAGAGGGAAACAACCCAGACCGCCAGCUAAGGUCCCAAAGUCAUGGUUAAGUGGGAAACGAUGUGGGAAGGCCCAGACAGCCAGGAUGUUGGCUUAGAAGCAGCCAUCAUUUAAAGAAAGCGUAAUAGCUCACUGGUCGAGUCGGCCUGCGCGGAAGAUGUAACGGGGCUAAACCAUGCACCGAAGCUGCGGCAGCGACACUAUGUGUUGUUGGGUAGGGGAGCGUUCUGUAAGCCUGUGAAGGUGGCCUGUGAGGGUUGCUGGAGGUAUCAGAAGUGCGAAUGCUGACAUAAGUAACGAUAAAGCGGGUGAAAAGCCCGCUCGCCGGAAGACCAAGGGUUCCUGUCCAACGUUAAUCGGGGCAGGGUGAGUCGACCCCUAAGGCGAGGCCGAAAGGCGUAGUCGAUGGGAAACAGGUUAAUAUUCCUGUACUUGGUGUUACUGCGAAGGGGGGACGGAGAAGGCUAUGUUGGCCGGGCGACGGUUGUCCCGGUUUAAGCGUGUAGGCUGGUUUUCCAGGCAAAUCCGGAAAACCAAGGCUGAGGCGUGAUGACGAGGCACUACGGUGCUGAAGCGACAAAUGCCCUGCUUCCAGGAAAAGCCUCUAAGCAUCAGGUAACAUCAAAUCGUACCCCAAACCGACACAGGUGGUCAGGUAGAGAAUACCAAGGCGCUUGAGAGAACUCGGGUGAAGGAACUAGGCAAAAUGGUGCCGUAACUUCGGGAGAAGGCACGCUGAUAUGUAGGUGAAGCGACUUGCUCGUGGAGCUGAAAUCAGUCGAAGAUACCAGCUGGCUGCAACUGUUUAUUAAAAACACAGCACUGUGCAAACACGAAAGUGGACGUAUACGGUGUGACGCCUGCCCGGUGCCGGAAGGUUAAUUGAUGGGGUUAGCGGUAACGCGAAGCUCUUGAUCGAAGCCCCGGUAAACGGCGGCCGUAACUAUAACGGUCCUAAGGUAGCGAAAUUCCUUGUCGGGUAAGUUCCGACCUGCACGAAUGGCGUAAUGAUGGCCAGGCUGUCUCCACCCGAGACUCAGUGAAAUUGAACUCGCUGUGAAGAUGCAGUGUACCCGCGGCAAGACGGAAAGACCCCGUGAACCUUUACUAUAGCUUGACACUGAACAUUGAGCCUUGAUGUGUAGGAUAGGUGGGAGGCUUUGAAGUGUGGACGCCAGUCUGCAUGGAGCCGACCUUGAAAUACCACCCUUUAAUGUUUGAUGUUCUAACGUUGGCCCCUAAUCGGGGUUGCGGACAGUGUCUGGUGGGUAGUUUGACUGGGGCGGUCUCCUCCUAAAGAGUAACGGAGGAGCACGAAGGUUGGCUAAUCCUGGUCGGACAUCAGGAGGUUAGUGCAAUGGCAUAAGCCAGCUUGACUGCGAGCGUGACGGCGCGAGCAGGUGCGAAAGCAGGUCAUAGUGAUCCGGUGGUUCUGAAUGGAAGGGCCAUCGCUCAACGGAUAAAAGGUACUCCGGGGAUAACAGGCUGAUACCGCCCAAGAGUUCAUAUCGACGGCGGUGUUUGGCACCUCGAUGUCGGCUCAUCACAUCCUGGGGCUGAAGUAGGUCCCAAGGGUAUGGCUGUUCGCCAUUUAAAGUGGUACGCGAGCUGGGUUUAGAACGUCGUGAGACAGUUCGGUCCCUAUCUGCCGUGGGCGCUGGAGAACUGAGGGGGGCUGCUCCUAGUACGAGAGGACCGGAGUGGACGCAUCACUGGUGUUCGGGUUGUCAUGCCAAUGGCACUGCCCGGUAGCUAAAUGCGGAAGAGAUAAGUGCUGAAAGCAUCUAAGCACGAAACUUGCCCCGAGAUGAGUUCUCCCUGAGACUUAGAGUCUCCUGAAGGAACGUUGAAGACGACGACGUUGAU